AGGACGAACGCUGGCGGCGUGCUUAACACAUGCAAGUCGCGGGGGGUGAGCAAUCACUCACCGGCGAACGGGUGCGUAACACGUGAGCGACCUGCCCACUUGUGGGGUAUAGCCGGCCCAACGGCCGGGUAAUCCCGCAUACGCUUCUCUGGCUGCAUGGCCGGGGGAGGAAAGCCGUAAGGCGCAAGUGGAGGGGCUCGCGGCCUAUCAGCUAGUUGGCGGGGUAACGGCCCACCAAGGCGAUGACGGGUAGC
RNAcentral lists this ribosomal RNA (254 nucleotides) under uncultured bacterium. Its description in RNAcentral is "partial small subunit ribosomal RNA". It matches the Rfam family "Bacterial small subunit ribosomal RNA", at positions 26 to 287 of the family's 1533-position model. The record is from RNAcentral.